AGUGAACGCUGGCGGUAGGCCUAACAUAUGCAAGUCGAACGGCAGCACAGUAAGAGCUUGCUCUUACGGGUGGCGAGUGGCGGACGGGUGAGGAAUACAUCGGAAUCUACUUUUUCGUGGGGGAUAACGUAGGGAAACUUACGCUAAUACCGCAUACGACCUACGGGUGAAAGCAGGGGAUCUUCGGACCUUGCGCGAUUGAAUGAGCCGAUGUCGGAUUAGCUAGUUGGCGGGGUAAAGGCCCACCAAGGCGACGAUCCGUAGCUGGUCUGAGAGGAUGAUGAGCCACACUGGAACUGAGACACGGUCCAGACUCCUACGGGAGGCAGCGGUGGGGAAUAUUGGACAAUGGGCGGAAGCCUGAUCCAGCCAUACCGCGUGGGUGAAGAAGGCCUUCGGGUUGUAAAGCCCUUUUGUUGGGGAAGAAAAGCAGCAGGUUAAUACCCCGCUGUUCUGACGGUACCCAAAGAAUAAGCACCGGCUAACUUCGUG
This 492-nucleotide ribosomal RNA is filed under the name uncultured bacterium. RNAcentral describes it as "partial 16S ribosomal RNA". It matches the Rfam family "Bacterial small subunit ribosomal RNA", at positions 29 to 507 of the family's 1533-position model. The record is from RNAcentral.